GAUGAACGCUGGCGGCGUGCCUAAUACAUGCAAGUCGAGCGAACAGACGAGGAGCUUGCUCCUUUGACGUUAGCGGCGGACGGGUGAGUAACACGUGGGUAACCUACCUAUAAGACUGGGAUAACUUCGGGAAACCGGAGCUAAUACCGGAUAAUAUUUCGAACCGCAUGGUUCGAUAGUGAAAGAUGGCUUUGCUAUCACUUAUAGAUGGACCUGCGCCGUAUUAGCUAGUUGCUAAGGUAACGGCUUACCAAGGCAACGAUACGUAGCCGACCUGAGAGGGUGAUCGGCCACACUGGAACUGAGACACGGUCCAGACUCCUACGGGAGGCAGCAGUAGGGAAUCUUCCGCAAUGGGCGAAAGCCUGACGGAGCAACGCCGCGUGAGUGAUGAAGGUCUUCGGAUCGUAAAACUCUGUUAUUAGGGAAGAACAAACGUGUAAGUAACUGUGCACGUCUUGACGGUACCUAAUCAGAAAGCCACGGCUAACUACGUG
RNAcentral lists this ribosomal RNA (497 nucleotides) under uncultured bacterium. RNAcentral's name for it is "partial 16S ribosomal RNA". It matches the Rfam family "Bacterial small subunit ribosomal RNA", at positions 28 to 507 of the family's 1533-position model. The record is from RNAcentral.